UUAAAAAAAAAAAUAAUCAAACAAAAAAAAAAAUAAUCAAACAAAAAUAAACUAAAUUACACUAAAAAUGAUUCUCAAAAUAAGAUACAGGAUCCGCUGAUCCUUGUUUCUGUACAGGCCUGUUCCACAGAUGGAUGAAAGGAGAUGAAGAUACCUCCAGGCACCCACACCCACACCACCACACCACCACACCGCAAGCACACAUUCGCAAUCGAACUCGAACUCGAACUCGUCAACGCUUUUGCACAACUAUACUAUUGCAGGAUGGAACCGGCCGAAAGCACAGUGGAUGGCAUCCUGGACAAGAGCUUCAUUGGGCAGAUAAACCAAGAAGCAAACUAUAUGCAGCCUCUACCUUGAUUGAAGGCUCUGCUGUCGAUGGCAUCGGCACUCGACACUGUGGGCUCUGGUCUCGGCUCUGAAUAUCGUGGAUCACAUUAAGAAACAGAACAACAAAUCACGGAUUAUUGCCAGCACAGAACACCAAUCGACACAUUUUAUCGACUUUGUUUAUAGCAAAUGGGGGAUCAUUAAAAAUUUGAUUUAAUUAACCA
This 554-nucleotide unclassified non-coding RNA is filed under the name Drosophila pseudoobscura pseudoobscura. RNAcentral describes it as "GA22958". Lineage: Eukaryota; Metazoa; Arthropoda; Insecta; Diptera; Drosophilidae. The record is from RNAcentral.